RNAcentral lists this non-coding RNA (28 nucleotides) under Cricetulus griseus (Chinese hamster). Lineage: Eukaryota; Metazoa; Chordata; Mammalia; Rodentia; Cricetidae. The record is from RNAcentral.
UCUGAGUGCUACAGUGGUGCCACCGCAG